ACCCUAAAUCACCACACUUCAAGACCACAAUGCCAAAGCGAGGCAAGUCUACUUCUCCUAUUUCUCCCAAAAUCAGUAGAUCCUACUCAAUUAUCAAAGCCCCUUAAUUUUUAAAUUGAUUUUUUGGCAAAAUAAUGUACAGGACGCGGAGGUUCCGCCGGGAACAAAUUUCGUAUGUCACUGGGUUUACCGGUGGCGGCUACAGUCAAUUGUGCCGAUAACACUGGAGCUAGGAACCUUUACAUAAUCUCAGUAAAGGGUAUAAAGGGUAGGUUGAAUAGGUUGCCAUCAGCUUGUGUAGUUGAUAUGGUGAUGGCUACUGUAAAGAAAGGGAAGCCUGAUUUAAGGAAGAAAGUUAUGCCUGCUGUUAUUGUUAGACAGCGCAAACCUUGGCGACGAAAGGAUGGUGUUUUCAUGUACUUUGAAGGAUGAUGUGAUGCAUCCUUGAACCAGCAAAAAUGAACAAUUGGAUAUUUAAUCGAGUGGGAUCUCCUCAGGCAUGAAGAUAGCCUUAUCCGCUUGAGUAAGGCGUGUUUGUAUAAUUUUGAAGCUUAGGAUUGUCACAGUGGCAGUUAAAAUUGUUGUUUGGAGAGUAACAAGUCAUUUUGCAAUAUGAUGUUUUCCCCUUUAUUAUAAGUUACCUAGCAGGAAAUUUUGAACCAGACUUAGUCAGUCAGGUAACAACCUCUUAUACUGUGGUUGAUACAGUUACAUGCCUGGAAAAUCGAAGUGUCCAUCGUUACAGAUAAUGCUGGUGUUAUUGUGAAUCCCAAGGGAGAAAUGAAAAGGUUCUGCUAUCACUGGUCCAAUUGGAAAGGAGUGUGCUGAUUUAUGGCCAAGGAUUGCUAGUGCAGCUAAUGCAAUUGUCUGAACAAAGAUUUAAUAUGCUGAUUUUGAAACUGUUAGUAUUAAUGUUUCACAUAUAAAAACAAAUGUAACGAUGUUGUAUUGCUCGGAGAGUUUCAACAAGUUCAUAUACCAAUUAUUUUUUCGCUUAAUACCAAGACUUUGUUUAAUUGUUAAUAAUAUUCAGUUUGUCAAAGUUUUAUAGA
Nicotiana tabacum (common tobacco) is the source of this 1052-nucleotide non-coding RNA. Lineage: Eukaryota; Viridiplantae; Streptophyta; Magnoliopsida; Solanales; Solanaceae. The record is from RefSeq and is a predicted model, not a curated record.